GUAGGUGGCAAGCGUUGUCCGGAAUUAUUGGGCGUAAAGCGCGCGCAGGCGGUCCUUUAAGUCUGAUGUGAAAGCCCACGGCUCAACCGUGGAGGGUCAUUGGAAACUGGAGAACUUGAGUACAGAAGAGGAAAGCGGAAUUCCACGUGUAGCGGUGAAAUGCGUAGAGAUGUGGAGGAACACCAGUGGCGAAGGCGGCUUUCUGGUCUGUAACUGACGCUGAGGCGCGAAAGCGUGGGGAGCAAACAGGGAUUAGAUACCCUGGUAGUCCACGCCGUAAACGAUGAGUGCUAAGUGUUAGGGGGGUUUCCGCCCCCUUAGUGCUGCAGCUAACGCAUUAAGCACUCCGCCUGGGGAUACGGCCGCAAGGCUG
RNAcentral lists this ribosomal RNA (373 nucleotides) under uncultured organism. Its description in RNAcentral is "partial 16S ribosomal RNA". It matches the Rfam family "Bacterial small subunit ribosomal RNA", at positions 527 to 896 of the family's 1533-position model. The record is from RNAcentral.